GACGAACGCUGGCGGCGUGCCUAAUACAUGCAAGUUGAGCGCUGAAGGUUGGUACUUGUACCAACUGGAUGAGCAGCGAACGGGUGAGUAACGCGUGGGGAAUCUGCCUUUGAGCGGGGGACAACAUUUGGAAACGAAUGCUAAUACCGCAUAAAAACUUUAAACACAAGUUUUAAGUUUGAAAGAUGCAAUUGCAUCACUCAAAGAUGAUCCCGCGUUGUAUUAGCUAGUUGGUGAGGUAAAGGCUCACCAAGGCGAUGAUACAUAGCCGACCUGAGAGGGUGAUCGGCCACAUUGGGACUGAGACAAGGCCCAAACUUCCACGGGAGGCAGCAGGAGGGAAUCUUCGGCAAUGGACGAAAGUCUGACCGAGCAACGCCGGGUGAGUGAAGAAGGUUUUCGGAUCGUAAAACUCUGUUGGUAGAGAAGAAAGUUGGUGAGAGUGGAAAGCUCAUCAAGUGACGGUAACUACACAGAAAGGGACGGCUAACUACGUG
This 497-nucleotide ribosomal RNA is filed under the name uncultured bacterium. RNAcentral's name for it is "partial 16S ribosomal RNA". It matches the Rfam family "Bacterial small subunit ribosomal RNA", at positions 28 to 507 of the family's 1533-position model. The record is from RNAcentral.